CAGUAGCCACGGGAACACGGAGGGAGCUAGCGUUGUUCGGAAUUACUGGGCGUAAAGCGCGCGUAGGCGGUUACUCAAGUCAGAGGUGAAAGCCCGGGGCUCAACCCCGGAACUGCCUUUGAAACUAGGUGACUAGAAUCUUGGAGAGGUCAGUGGAAUUCCGAGUGUAGAGGUGAAAUUCGUAGAUAUUCGGAAGAACACCAGUGGCGAAGGCGACUGACUGGACAAGUAUUGACGCUGAGGUGCGAAAGCGUGGGGAGCAAACAGGAUUAGAUACCCGAGUAGUCCCUGUCUCUUAUAC
Molecule: ribosomal RNA, 301 nt
Filed under: uncultured bacterium
Lineage: Bacteria
Description: partial 16S ribosomal RNA
Rfam family: Bacterial small subunit ribosomal RNA
Source: RNAcentral